Molecule: long non-coding RNA, 1223 nt
Organism: Cyprinus carpio (common carp)
Lineage: Eukaryota; Metazoa; Chordata; Actinopteri; Cypriniformes; Cyprinidae
Source: Ensembl
AAAUAGAAUUGAUGUGAAUAUUGGGAUGAAGGUUUUUUUUACAUUUUUAAUAAUUUUUUUUUAUGUCCUAUAGGAGAGAAGCCCUAUGAGUGCUAUAUCUGUCAUGCACGUUUUACUCAGAGUGGUACCAUGAAGAUGCACAUACUGCAGAAGCACACAGAAAAUGUGGCAAAAUUUCACUGCCCCCACUGCGACACCGUUAUUGCCCGCAAGAGUGAUCUUGGUAAAACUGCAAUGUUCAGCAUUAACAUUUUAUAGUUGUUGCUGCUUACUUGUGUGCUUUUUAGUAGCAAUGACAGCUUGGAACAUACUUGUGGUGUAUUGAUGUUUACACAUUUGCUGUGUCCCUUGCAGGUGUACAUCUCCGUAAGCAGCAUUCCUACAUUGAGCAGGGAAGGAAGUGCCGUUACUGUGAUGCAGUGUUCCAUGAGCGCUACGCACUCAUCCAGCAUCAGAAGUCCCACAAAAAUGAGAAACGCUUCAAGUGUGAUCAGUGUGACUAUGCAUGCCGUCAGGAGCGUCACAUGGUCAUGCACAAGCGUACCCAUACCGGGGAGAAGCCUUAUUCCUGCAGCCAAUGUGAGAAAACUUUCAGACAGAAACAGCUCCUGGACAUGCACUUUCGGCGCUAUCACGACCCCAAUUUUGUACCCACAUCCUUUGUAUGCACCAAGUGCGGCAAGACCUUCACUCGCAGGAAUACCAUGGCCAGACAUGCAGAGAACUGCAAUGGUAUGGAUUCUGGUGAUGGAGAGAAUGGAGCUCCACCCAAAAGGGGCCGUGGAGGCCGAAAGAGGAAAAUGCGCUCUAGAAAGGAUGAUGAUGAUGAUGAUGAUAGUGGUGAGUAACUUGGCUGUAGUUUUGCUACUAUGCUGGUGGUUGUAUUAUAAGUUGAACAAACACUUGCAUGAAAUCUGUGAACUUUUUUUUUGUGGUUGGGGUGGGGGUUCCAGAAUGGAGUGGGUAUAGCUUAUUGUACUAAAUAUAAAUCAUGACCGUUUUAAGAGAAUUUUAACGCUGUAACCUGAAUAUCUUAGAUGAGCAUGGAGAACCUGACCUUGAUGACAUUGAUGAAGAGGAAGAUGAUGAGCUAUUUGAUGAUGACCAGAUGGACGUGGUACAGGCUCCACCCAGUGUUCCUAUCCCUGCGCCAGCCGAACCUCCUGUCAAGAGGAAACGUGGCAGACCCCCAAAGAAUGCACCCAAGGCUUCUCCUACCAAGU